This 279-nucleotide unclassified non-coding RNA is filed under the name Entoloma sp. RNAcentral's name for it is "partial contains 5.8S ribosomal RNA, internal transcribed spacer 2, and large subunit ribosomal RNA". The stretch from base 1 to 52 matches the Rfam family "5.8S ribosomal RNA", at positions 103 to 154 of the family's 154-position model. The record is from RNAcentral. Lineage: Eukaryota; Fungi; Basidiomycota; Agaricomycetes; Agaricales; Entolomataceae.
AACGCAUCUUGCGCUCCUUGGUAUUCCGAGGAGCAUGCCUGUUUGAGUGUCAUUUAAAACUUCUCAACUGCUCCAGAUUUGUUUCUGGAUGUGGCUUGGAAAUGGAGGGAAGUGCAGGCUUCUGCUGAAGUCUGCUCCUCUGAAAUGUAUUAGCGGUGUCUGGGCAAGACUACCACAGGUGUGAUAACUAUCAAUGCCUUGGUGCGUGCUGCUACCGCUUUCGAACCAUUCAAUGACCAACUUGACCUCAAAUCAGGUAGGAUUACCCGCUGAACUUAA